Molecule: microRNA precursor, 90 nt
Filed under: Ochotona princeps (American pika)
Lineage: Eukaryota; Metazoa; Chordata; Mammalia; Lagomorpha; Ochotonidae
Description: miRNA (ENSOPRG00000022598.1)
Source: RNAcentral
CACUUUGGGAUCUUGUUAAAUUGUAGAUUGUGAUGUAAUAGGUCUGGGUUGGCUUGAUAUUCUGCAUGUCUAACAAGUGCCCAGGUCAUG